RNAcentral lists this ribosomal RNA (392 nucleotides) under uncultured bacterium. RNAcentral's name for it is "partial 16S ribosomal RNA". It matches the Rfam family "Bacterial small subunit ribosomal RNA", at positions 523 to 918 of the family's 1533-position model. The record is from RNAcentral.
AUACGGAGGAUCCGAGCGUUAUCCGGAUUUAUUGGGUUUAAAGGGUGCGCAGGCGGCCAUUUAAGUCAGCGGUUAAAUCGUGGGGCUCAACCCCAUUCUGCCGUUGAUACUGGGUGGCUUGAUUGCGGUCGAGGUUGGCGGAAUUCGUUGUGUAGCGGUGAAAUGCAUAGAUAUGACGAAGAACACCGAUUGCGUAGGCAUCUGACCAGACCGCAAAUGACGCUCAUGCUCGAAAGUGCGGGGAUCGAACAGGAUUAGAUACCCUGGUAGUCCGCACCGUGAACGAUGAAUACUUGUUUUCGGCGAUAUAAUGUCGGAGGCAAAGCGAAAGCGAUAAGUAUUCCACCUGGGGAGUACGCCGGCAACGGUGAAACUCAAAGGAAUUGACGGGG